Molecule: ribosomal RNA, 522 nt
Filed under: uncultured bacterium
Lineage: Bacteria
Description: bacterial SSU rRNA
Rfam family: Bacterial small subunit ribosomal RNA
Source: RNAcentral
ACGACGCUGGCGGUGUGCUUAACACAUGCAAGUGGUGCGACGAACCAGAGCUUGCUCUGGGGCAAAGCCGCGAACGGGUGAGUAACACGUGGGUAAUCUACCCCGAUGACCGGGACAACCCGAGGAAACUCGGGGCUAAUACCGGAUGUGGUACGGAGACAUAAGUCUCUUUACUAAAGGUAGCUUCGGCUUCCGCAUUGGGAGGGGCCCCGCGGCCCCAUUAGCUAGUUGGUGGGGUCAAGGCCUACCAAGGCAACGAUGGGUAGCUGGUCUGAGAGGACGAUCAGCCACACUGGGACUGAGACACGGCCCAGACUCCUACGGGAGGCAGCAGUGGGGAAUCUUGCGCAAUGCGCGAAAGCGUGACGCAGCAACACCGCGUGAGGGAAGACGGCCUUAGGGUUGUAAACCUCUUUCAGAUGGGACGAAGGUGAUGCGGUGAAUAGCCGAUGUCAUUGACGGUACCGUCAGAAGAAGCUCCGGCUAACUACGUGCCAGCAGCCGCGGUAAUACGUAGGGAGC